Molecule: long non-coding RNA, 462 nt
Organism: Bombyx mori (domestic silkworm)
Lineage: Eukaryota; Metazoa; Arthropoda; Insecta; Lepidoptera; Bombycidae
Exons: 2
Source: RefSeq, a predicted model, not a curated record
AGCUCUCAUUUUCAAUUCAUUUUAACAAUAUUGAAUACCGGCAAGACGUUAUGAACUUUUUAAUGUUGAUCAUAUUGAUGAUGCAUGGCAUUAGUGCCCUUUACUAUGGAAAUGUUGGUAAACGUGGUUGUCUAAGUUACAAUGGAACAUGUGUAGAACAAUGUCCCGAUAACAUGCACCGCGUCAACAGCGAAUGUCGCGCGACUCCAUCACAAAGGACUUGUGAUGAACCAGUCUCUAUUUCUUUAGGAAUAAUUUGCGGCUGGUCGCGAUGUGACUGCGAUUUCCCCCUCGUCCUUCAUCCAAGCUCUGGAUUUUGCUUCCUACUUGAAGAUUGUCCCUAAUUUAAUAUUGAACAAUUCCAUCGCUAUUCCGGAUAAAUGACAAUGGAAUUUACCUCGAGUAUCAGAGGUUUUUGGAUUAUACCAUUUUCCUUGUGUAAAAUAAAUGUAUUUUUCUUUA